AGGUGCGAUCAUACCAGGACUAAUGCACCGGAUCCCAUCAGAACUCCGCAGUGAAGCGUGCUUGGGCGAGAGUAGUACUAGGAUGGGUGACCUCCUUGGUAGUCCUAUUGUUCAACCAC
Molecule: ribosomal RNA, 119 nt
Filed under: Lupinus angustifolius (narrow-leaved blue lupine)
Lineage: Eukaryota; Viridiplantae; Streptophyta; Magnoliopsida; Fabales; Fabaceae
Source: RNAcentral